This 1726-nucleotide long non-coding RNA is filed under the name Podarcis lilfordi (Lilford's wall lizard). The record is from RNAcentral. Lineage: Eukaryota; Metazoa; Chordata; Lepidosauria; Squamata; Lacertidae.
AAAGUGACCUAACUUCAUCACUGACACAACGGAACAAAUGUCUGAGUAAACAUGUUUAGGAUCACAGCACGCAGCCAUAUUUCCCAGGUGUUGUAAAUGCAGAAGAUGUCUCAUUUCCAGGAAAUCUUUGCUUUCCAGCAUUCAGACUCCUAUGACAACAACUACGAUUCUUGUCCCAUGAGGUGUCAGCGGUCGUGCUUGUUCUGCUUUGCGGAUUGUACUUGAUUAUUAGAUAUGGAUUUCUACAAAUACGUACUGAAAGUGACAUUGGAAGAGAGGUGGUAAUGUUGCAAAAUACUUGUUUACAACCCUACUAAUCAUAGAAUAGAUAUCUUAAGCUCCUGUGGUUUGGGGUCCAUGGAUGAGAAACUGAGUACAGUCGUACCUUGGUUGUCGAAUGCCCUGGAACUCGGACGUUUUGGCUGCCGAACACCACAAACCCAGAAGAGAUUGUUCCGGUUUGCAAGCGUUCUUUUGGAACCCAAACAUCCGACAGGGCUUCUGCGGCUUCUGAUUGGCUGCAGGAGAACUCCCGUUGCUCAGUCCCUGCUCCUGCCAACCUAGCAGUUCAAAAGCACGUCAAAGUGCAAGUAGAUAAAUAGGUACCACUCCAGCGGCAAGGUAAACGGCGUUUCCGUGCGCUGCUCUCGUUCGCCAGAAGCAGCUUAGUCCAGCUGGCCACAUGACCCAGAAGCUGUACGCUGGCUCCCUCGGCCAAUAAAGCAUGAUUUGGUUUACAAACGUUUUGUGAAGUGAAAUGGACCUUCGGAACGGAUUCCAUUCGACUUCCAAGGUGCGACUGUAAUACGCAAAUGGUCAGCCACAAGUCUGCUCACCUUAUCUGAUGGGCAGUGUUGUGGCUGCGCCAUGGGCCCUGCAGUGAUCUGGCGAGGGCGCCGGGGUUUGGUUGCCUGCCGGCAAUUGGCAUGAGCAGGCAGGCUUUCCCGGGGGUGGGGGGGAGAGGUGGGCCUGACUGGUCAACCAGCGCCACCUAGGCCCACUCCUUGGGAGCUAAAUUGCAGCCCAGCUUGGCAGUCCCUCCCCUGCCCCUUUUCCCUGCCAGAUUCCCCACUGUCCCUCCCUUUAAUUUUGCUGCAGUUCAUACUACAACCUUGCUAUGGAUCACAUCGGCUGCCAUAUUUGAGGCAAGGUAGGAUUUUUUUGCUAGUGUGGUGUAGUGGUUAAGAGCAGUGGACUCAUAAUCUGGUGAACUGGGUUCGAUUCCCUGCUCCUCCACAUGCAGCUGCUGGGUGACCUUGGGCCAGUCACACUUCUCUGAAGUCUCUCAGCCCCAUUAACCUCACAGAGCGUUUGUUGUGAGGGAGGAAGGGAAAGGAGAUUGUGAGCCACUUUGAGACUCCUUAGGGUAGCGAUAAAGCGGGAUAUCAAAUCCAAACUCUUCUUCUUCAAAUGGGCACCCGCCAUUUUGUUGUUGCCUACCUCCUAGCAAUCGUCACAACUUUGUGAGGUUAGGCCUUGGUCUUGGCUGGAGGGGAGGUUGUAGCCUUUGCCUGCCCCUAAUCCACAUUUAUGCUGUCACUAAUGUCUUCUCUGAACCCAGUCACAUGCAGAGAAGGCUGGGUCUGCCACCUGAGGCUCACAUGUUCUCAUGGGUGGCCUUGCCCAGCCCAUCUCCCGUCAAAAGGUUCAAGCUUCCAAUAAUGUGUGUCAAAAAUGUGAAUUCAACAAAAACUUGCUAAUAAAGGAAUUACCUGGAAUAACACUU